This 465-nucleotide ribosomal RNA is filed under the name uncultured bacterium. RNAcentral describes it as "partial 16S ribosomal RNA". It matches the Rfam family "Bacterial small subunit ribosomal RNA", at positions 28 to 507 of the family's 1533-position model. The record is from RNAcentral.
GACGAACGCUGGCGGCGUGCUUAACACAUGCCAGUCGAACGGUGAACUCCGCUUGCGGGGGGAUCAGUGGCGAACGGGUGAGUAACACGUGGGCAACCUGCCCUCAGCUCUGGGAUAACUCCAAGAAAUUGGGGCUAAUACCGGAUAUGACCGCUGACCGCAUGGUCUGGUGGCGGAAAGAUUUAUCGGCUGGGGAUGGGCCCGCGGCCUAUCAGCUUGUUGGUGGGGUAGUGGCCUACCAAGGCGACGACGGGUAGCCGGCCUGAGAGGGUGACCGGCCACACUGGGACUGAGACACGGCCCAGACUCCUACGGGAGGCAGCAGUGGGGAAUAUUGCGCAAUGGGCGAAAGCCUGACGCAGCGACGCCGCGUGGGGGAUGACGGCCUUCGGGUUGUAAACCUCUUUCAGCAGGGACGAAGCGAAAGUGACGGUACCUGCAGAAGAAGCACCGGCCAACUACGUG